RNAcentral lists this ribosomal RNA (339 nucleotides) under Triticum aestivum (bread wheat). RNAcentral's name for it is "partial small subunit ribosomal RNA". The record is from RNAcentral. Lineage: Eukaryota; Viridiplantae; Streptophyta; Magnoliopsida; Poales; Poaceae.
AUGGAUGCUCGACUUGAAGCUUCUGAGGAAGCGAAGAUGCAAGACAUGGAGCAGGAACAAAAUCCCACUACGACAAGUCUAGCAACAAGUCCUACAGCUUCACCCAAUGCUCAAAGUCCUACAACUUCAGCUCCCACCUCAGAUGCCACAAUAUCUCACCCGUACACUCUGGUAUGGCCAGUACGCUUUGCUGCUCCUACAGGAGCAUUGUUUGGUUUUGUGGUUCAGCGAACUCCGCAAGUCAAGCACCUCAUCCAAGAGAUGCAACACGAAGGUGCUGUGAUGGUUGCUAUGCAAGGGCAGAUGAUAGGGUCAGGUCUUCGCUUGGGCAGGCAGUAG